RNAcentral lists this long non-coding RNA (1429 nucleotides) under Salmo salar (Atlantic salmon). RNAcentral describes it as "lncRNA (ENSSSAG00000103624.1)". Lineage: Eukaryota; Metazoa; Chordata; Actinopteri; Salmoniformes; Salmonidae. The record is from RNAcentral.
AGAGAAGAGAGGGGUGGUAGUAGGUAGUAGUGGAGGUGGUGAGAGCAGAGAGGGGUGGUAGUUGGUAGUAGUGGAGGUGGUGAGAGAAGAGAUGGGUGGUAGUAGGUAGUAGUGGAGGUGGUGAGAGAAGAGAUGAGUGGUAGUUGGUAGUAGUGGAGGUGGUGAGAGAAGAGAGGGGUGGUAGUAGGUGGUGGUGGAGGUGGUGAGAGAAGAGAGGGGUGGUAGUAGGUAGUAGUGGAGGUGGUGAGAGAAGAGAGGGGUGGUAGUUGGUAGUAGUGGAGGUGGUGAGAGAAGAGAGGGGUGGUAGUCGGUAGCAGUGGAGGUGGUGAGAGAAGAGAGGGGUGGUAGUAGGUAGUAGUGGAGGUGGUGAGAGCAGAGAGGGGUUGUAGUUGGUAGUAGUGGAGGUGGUGAGAGAAGAGAUGGGUGGUAGUUGGUAGUAGUGGAGGUGGUGAGAGAAGAGAUGGGUGGUAGUAGUGGAGGUGGGGAGAGAAGAGAGGGGUGGUAGUAGGUAGUAGUGGAGGUGGUGAGAGAAGAGCGGGGUGGUAGUAGGUAGUAGUGGAGGUGGUGAGAGAAGAGAUGGGUGGUAGUAGGUAGCAGUGGAGGUGGUGAGAGAAGAGAGGCGUGGUAGUUGGUAGUAGUGGAGGUGGUGAGAAAAGAGAGGGGUGGUAGUAGUGGAGGUGGUGAGAGAAGAGACCGGUGGUAGUAGGUAGUAGUGGAGGUGGUGAGAGAAGAGAGGGGUGGUAGUAGGUAGUAGUGGAGGUGGUGAGAGCAGAGAGGGGUGGUAGUUGGUAGUAGUGGAGGUGGUGAGAGAAGAGACCGGUGGUAGUAGGUAGUAGUGGAGGUGGUGAGAGAAGAGAGGGGUGGUAGUAGGUAGUAGUGGAGGUGGUGAGAGCAGAGAGGGGUGGUAGUUGGUAGUAUUGGAGGUGGUGAGAGAAGAGAUGGGUGGUAAUAGGUAGUAGUGGAGGUGGUGAGAGAAGAGAUGGGUGGUAGUAGUGGAGGUGGGGAGAGAAGAGAGGGGUGGUAGUAGGUAGCAGUGGAGGUGGUGAGAGAAGAGAGGGGUGGUAGUAGGUAGUAGUGGAGGUGGUGAGAGAAGAGAUGGGUGGUAGUAGGUAGCAGUGGAGGUGGUGAGAGAAGAGAGGGGUGGUAGUUGGUAGCAGUGGAGGUGGUGAGAGAAGAGAUGGGUGGUAGUAGGUAGUAGUGGAGGUGGUGGACUAUGAACUCAGACUAUUGUGAUCCCAAAUAGCACCCCUUUUCCCUGAGUAGUGCACUACUUUUGACCAAGGACUCAUCACACCAAAGGGUAAAUGGAUGUAAUUUACGGGCCAUUUGGAACGCGUACUAGAAUACUAGCAGAUGUCCAGUUGCAAACAGUCUGUAAAUGCCCUGUACUGUGGUGAAUGGAGAGAUAGAGGGAUGGAGAGAUGGAGGG